This 2550-nucleotide small RNA is filed under the name Pan troglodytes (chimpanzee). RNAcentral describes it as "retained intron". The record is from RNAcentral. Lineage: Eukaryota; Metazoa; Chordata; Mammalia; Primates; Hominidae.
AGAACAUUCUGCUGCUCUUAAAGACCCUCAUCCCUCCCGUGGGAGCCCCCUUUGGACACUCUAUGACCCUGGACCCUCGGGGGACCUGAACUUGAUGCGAUGGGAGGCUGUGCAGGCUCGCGGCGGCGCUUUUCGGAUUCCGAGGGGGAGGAGACCGUCCCGGAGCCCCGGCUCCCUCUGUUGGACCAUCAGGGCGCGCAUUGGAAGAACGCGGUGGGCUUCUGGCUGCUGGGCCUUUGCAACAACUUCUCUUAUGUGGUGAUGCUGAGUGCUGCCCACGACAUCCUUAGCCACAAGAGGACAUCGGGAAACCAGAGCCAUGUGGACCCAGGCCCAACGCCGAUGCCCCACAACAGCUCAUCACGAUUUGACUGCAACUCUGUCUCUACGGCUGUGCGUACUCAUCUCACCUGGUCCUUGCCUGACCCAGGGCCCCUGGGUCUAUAGACCCCACUCCCAGCCCUUCACUACCCAGCUGGGACUGUCAUGAUUAAAACAGUUGAGACCUGGGCUGGGCGCACUGGCUCACACUUGUAAUCCCAGCACUUUGGGAGACCAAGGUGGGAGGAUCACUUGAGCCUAGGAGUUUGAGACCAGCCUGGGCAGUAUAGUGAGACCCCCAUCUUAAGGAAAAAAAUUAAAAAAUAUAUAUAUAUAUAAUAAUUGAGACCUUAAUAUAAUUUCUGAGGCUGAGGCGGAUGGAUCACUUGAGACCAGGAGUUCAAGACCAGCCUGGCCAACAUGGUGAAACCCCAUCUGUACUAAAAAUACAAAAAUUAGCCAGGCAUGGUGGUGCACGCCUGUAAUCCCAGCUACUCGGGAGGCUGAGGCAGGAGAAUCACUUGAACCCAGGAGGUGGAGGUUGUAGUGAGCCAAGAUCGAGCCACUACACUCCAGCCUGGGUGGCAGAAUGAGACUCACUCUCAAAAUAUAUAUAUAUAUGUAGUUUCUGAGUCCUUUCUGUCUGUAGCAUAUAUUAGCUCACUUAAGCCACACAGCAGUCCUGUGAGCUAGGCGCUAUGAUAUUCCCAUUUUCCAGAUGAGGAAACUGAAGCUCAGAGAGUAUAAACUCUUGACACACAACUAAGGAGUGGCAGAGCUGAGACUUGAACCCAGGCGUGCCUGACUCCAGAGCCUGUGUUUGUAGCAGGCCUGUUUGGCCAGCUCCUGCCUCUCCUUGGCCACGUGGUUGGGAGGGUUGUCCCCUGGAAGCUCUGCGGUCUCACUCUAUUCUCCUGUCCCAGGCUGUGCUCCUGGCGGACAUCCUCCCCACACUCGUCAUCAAAUUGUUGGCUCCUCUUGGCCUUCACCUGCUGCCCUACAGGUCUGGGUGAGGGUAGUGGGAGGCAGGGUGGGCAGGAGCUGAGAAAGGGGAGGCCGGGAUGGCUGAGAUGCUGAGAGUAGAGACCGACCUUCCCCCUCCCUUCCCUUCUCACCCCCUCAGCCCCCGGGUUCUCGUCAGUGGGAUUUGUGCUGCUGGAAGCUUCGUCCUGGUUGCCUUUUCUCAUUCUGUGGGGACCAGCCUGUGUGGUGUGGUCUUCGCUAGCAUCUCAUCAGGCCUUGGGGAGGUCACCUUCCUCUCCCUCACUGCCUUCUACCCCAGGGCCGUGAUCUCCUGGUGGUCCUCAGGGACUGGGGGAGCUGGGCUGCUGGGGGCCCUGUCCUACCUGGGCCUCACCCAGGCCGGCCUCUCCCCUCAGCAGACCCUGCUGUCCAUGCUGGGUAUCCCUGCCCUGCUGCUGGCCAGCUAUUUCUUGUUGCUCACAUCUCCUGAGGCCCAGGACCCUGGAGGGGAAGAAGAGGCAGAGAGCGCAGCCCGGCAGCCCCUCAUAAGAACCGAGGCCCCGGAGUCGAAGCCAGGCUCCAGCUCCAGCCUCUCCCUUCGGGAAAGGUGGACAGUGUUCAAGGUUCGGAUGAUGGCUGGGGUAUGUCCCUGUGGGGCUUGCUCACCUCCAGGCCCCCCGCUUAUAUCUUCUGCCUUUUCCAGGGUCUGCUGUGGUACAUUGUUCCCUUGGUCGUAGUUUACUUUGCCGAGUAUUUCAUUAACCAGGGACUUGUAAGUGAGGGGUGCUAGGAGGGGUGUGGAGGUGGCGAUUGGGGCUGGGACCCACACGGCCCCGUCCAUCUCCCCUGUCUGGUAUUUGUUGCAGUUUGAACUCCUCUUUUUCCGGAACACUUCCCUGAGUCACGCUCAGCAAUACCGCUGGUAAGAGGAGCGAGGGCAGUGGGCUGGGAGGGCGCCGUGGUGAUGCAGCUGCCCUGCCCAGUAGGCACCGGGGGGAGCGGGAUGGUCCCUGGAGGAGCCUCCUCUCCUACCCUCAACCCUAACCUCAGGUACCAGAUGCUGUACCAGGCUGGCGUCUUUGCCUCCCGCUCUUCUCUCCGCUGCUGUCGCAUCCGUUUCACCUGGGCCCUGGCCCUGCUGCAGAUGGAGUCUCGCUCUGUUGCCCAGGCUGGAAUGUAGCGGUGCAAUCUUGGCUCACUGCAACCCCUGCCUCCCAGAUUCAAGCGAUUCUCAAGCCUCAGCCUUCCGAGUAGCUGGGAUUACAG